UGCAUUCUCAGCCCAUGCUGCUUUAUUGCUAAAAAUAUAUAUAUACACAGGUGCAGAGUUUCCAACUCUUUUAACCGUUCCUUUUUACAUCAAAGAAUUAAAUUUCUUCAGAAACCCCAAAGAUGCAUAGAUUAAGAAGCAAGCUGCCUUCUGUAAUACUUCAAAUAAUAUUCAAUGAAACUCAACAUUAUACACCAAUGGUGCAACAAAGAAUAUGGAGGACAGCAAAUAAACACAGUGAGCAACUCUUAUUCUUACAAGGCAGUAAGUAAAGUAUAAUGUGAAGGACAGUCUAAGAUAAUCUUUCUGGUUUUAAGAGAUGAGUCGGUUUUAUGAUAAGUACCAACACUGUUACUGUUUAAGGAUUGAUGAUAAUGUAUUACCAGAAUACCUUUCUUACCCCUGGGAGAAAUAUGUUUUUUCACUGAUGCAAUGACAUAUCACCAAGGGAGGAAAAAACCUGAAUACUGUCAGUAACUAAGAUACCUAUUCUGACUUUAAAGAUUUAGGACUUCAUGGAAAAAUCUGUGAUGUCUGGUUUCCCAAAAUUAUUUUAAUGUGCCUUAGUGGAAUAAUGAGAGGAAUUUAGAGAAACUCUGUUCUUAAUCUUUACUGGCUGACAGACAUGGUAUCAGUAAUUGGGGAAGAGAAACUAUAUUCAGGAUAUGACAUCUCACUUCAUAUAUUUGAAUGGAAACCAAACAUCACAAUCACAAGAAGUCUAAUUCAAUUCUGAACCACUGAAAAAUUACCAUUCCACUUUAUUCAUUCCCAAAGUUAUCUGUAGCAAAAUCCUACAGGAAAGAAUAUGAAAUAAAGUUUUCAAAACAAAAUUUUUUUCAAUCAUAGAAUGUAAAACCUUGAAUGUGCCCAGUGAAAAUCAUUUAGUUUAAUCUUGAAUUCUAUUUAGGCUUGUUUCAGACAUCAUGAAUGCCAUUUUUACAUCAUUUGUCAUAAUCACUUGUAUUUAUACAAGGGUUAUUUUUAAAAUAAGGAAUUUUCUCAAAGAAAAUUUUAAGCUACUACAGGCCGGGUGCAGUGGCUCACACCUAUAAUCCCGGCACUUUGGGAGGCUAAGGGGGGCGGAUCACAUAAGGCCAGGAGUUCGAGACCAGCCUGGCCAACAUGGCGAAACUCUGUCUCUAUUAAAAAUACCAAAAUUAGCUGAGGGUAGGUGUAUGUUUAUAAUCCCAGCUCCUCGGGAGGUGGAGGUUGCAUGAGUGGAGAUUGCGCCACUGCACUCCAGCCUGGGCGACAGAGCAAGGCUCCGUCUCAAAAAAAAAAAUAAAAAUAAAAAAAUAAAAAAAAAUUUAAGCUACUGCAAUAAAUUUGUUUAUUCAUUAAAUAAAAUAAAUGGCAAGGAUUUUCUUCUUUUAAAGUGGAAACAUUUUCUCCUGUUAAACCUGGCAUUAAAAGCUUUAGGCAAGAAAUUGUAGUCUGGCCAAACCCAUCAAGGAUAAAACUUUGGCUAUAAAAUUUGUUUAAACUGUUUUUUAUGCAAUGAAAUAACAAACUAACCACAGAUCUGUCAGUAUUUU
This 1538-nucleotide long non-coding RNA is filed under the name Macaca mulatta (Rhesus monkey). RNAcentral's name for it is "lncRNA (ENSMMUG00000057970.1)". Lineage: Eukaryota; Metazoa; Chordata; Mammalia; Primates; Cercopithecidae. The record is from RNAcentral.